Molecule: ribosomal RNA, 496 nt
Filed under: uncultured bacterium
Lineage: Bacteria
Description: partial 16S ribosomal RNA
Rfam family: Bacterial small subunit ribosomal RNA
Source: RNAcentral
GAUGAACGCUGGCGGCGUGCCUAAUACAUGCAAGUCGAGCGAACGGACGAGAAGCUUGCUUUUCUGAUGUUAGCGGCGGACGGGUGAGUAACACGUGGAUACCUACCUAUAAGACUGGGAUAACUUCGGGAAACCGGAGCUAAUACCGGAUAAUAUUUUGAACCGCAUGGUUCAAAAGUGAAAGACGGUCUUGCUGUCACUUAUAGAUGGAUCCGCGCUGCAUUAGCUAGUUGGUAAGGUAACGGCUUACCAAGGCAACGAUGCAUAGCCGACCUGAGAGGGUGAUCGGCCACACUGGAACUGAGACACGGUCCAGACUCCUACGGGAGGCAGCAGUAGGGAAUCUUCCGCAAUGGGCGAAAGCCUGACGGAGCAACGCCGCGUGAGUGAUGAAGGUCUUCGGAUCGUAAAACUCUGUUAUUAGGGAAGAACAUAUGUGUAAGUAACUGUGCACAUCUUGACGGUACCUAAUCAGAAAGCCACGGCUAACUACGUG